This 114-nucleotide small nucleolar RNA is filed under the name Dasypus novemcinctus (nine-banded armadillo). RNAcentral's name for it is "Small Cajal body specific RNA 1 (ENSDNOG00000029617.1)". It matches the Rfam family "Small Cajal body specific RNA 1". Rfam says of the family: scaRNAs are a specific class of small nuclear RNAs which localise to the Cajal bodies and guide the modification of RNA polymerase II transcribed spliceosomal RNAs U1, U2, U4, U5 and U12. The record is from RNAcentral. Lineage: Eukaryota; Metazoa; Chordata; Mammalia; Cingulata; Dasypodidae.
AAGUUCAGUGUUAAAAAGUCAAACCAUUAAUUGCUGGACAAUUUUUUUUUUAAAUGUGCCUUUUAAGCCCAGUGUGUAAAGACACACUCUGAGUUACAACUCAAAGGCACAAUU